GUCUGGAGGAAAUACUUAGUCAUUUUGUAAAAAAAAAAAUUGUUGAUGCAGCUUCGUGCAAGACAAGCACUUGGGCAGAUUAUUACUUCUGGUGAUAGUUAAUUGUAAUCAGUUACUCCAUUCAAAGCCCCUGGGCUGCAGGCAAAGAGAAAUCUCGAUAGAAUUUAUUUUCUCCCAAUUCCCACCUUAUAUGUAAGGUGUAUCGGCCUUGUGCUUCAGCAUCAAGUAUGGUAUGCUUCAGUGGAUGUAUUUCAGUGACUUCCUUGCUGUCUUUCCUAGAGGUGUAUAUAAUUACUUGUAUUUUUUUGAACCAGUCAGAGCAGUGUGAAAGAUUUUCAAUUUUGUAAGCACUCCUGACCAGGUUGCCCCGAAGUCUCUUUCUCUUUUGCUCACAUCUUGUAAGUCGGAAGAUCGAAGUAGAUUUACAGGCUUUAGUAUUGUACUAUGAGUAGUAAAUGCCAAUUUUAGAACUUAGUUUCAAUUUCAUUCUGAUGCUGGGAUAUUGACAAAUGGUUGAAUUCUAUGUGUAAGCAACAUGUCAAGGGGUAAUGAUUGAGGUGUAUUUUGUAAAUUAUUGUGAUGUUUUUAUGAACAUUCUUUGCGAACCAAA
Molecule: long non-coding RNA, 610 nt
Organism: Glycine soja
Lineage: Eukaryota; Viridiplantae; Streptophyta; Magnoliopsida; Fabales; Fabaceae
Exons: 2
Source: RefSeq, a predicted model, not a curated record